RNAcentral lists this transfer RNA (71 nucleotides) under Patescibacteria group bacterium. RNAcentral's name for it is "tRNA-Gln". It matches the Rfam family "tRNA". From Rfam's summary of the family: Transfer RNA (tRNA) molecules are approximately 80 nucleotides in length. Their secondary structure includes four short double-helical elements and three loops (D, anti-codon, and T loops). The record is from RNAcentral.
UGCCGGGUGGUGUAAAGGUAGCACAAACGGCUCUGGACCGUUUAGUCUAGGUUCGAAUCCUAGCCCGGCAG